CCCAUCAUAGCACUCCCCCACCCAAUAUCAAAUUCUAAAUCAUUUUAAUUCAUUGUCUCUCUCACUCUCCUUCCCCCUCUCCAUCUCCCUCUCCCUCUCCCUCUCAACGAGUCAAAAUGAAUCUACACCUCUCACUCUCCCUCACCUCAACAAGAUCCAUGAGUUGCAGCGCUGUACGCGACUCCGGGCUCUGGUCGUCGAGUGCUACAACGGCGCUGUGUGUGCUACUCGACGACUAUAACAAGGUGACGUGGGUGUGAUUUUGGGGACGACGACGAUAUAGAUGUAGUGUUUCUUCCCUCCAAUAUGUUUGGGGCGACUCCAUGCUCCAAUUGCAGUCGUUGCGACGGCACUGUACGUGCUGAUCCAAGCGCUGUAGUCAUCGUUGUAGCCACAAUGACGUGGUGUUUCUUUCCUCCGAUCAUGUGGGUUGUUUUGGGUGUUAGCGAUAAGGUGGUGGUAAUGGAGUUGGGGAUAAGGUGGAGUUGGUUUGUUUUC
RNAcentral lists this long non-coding RNA (498 nucleotides) under Olea europaea subsp. europaea. The record is from RNAcentral. Lineage: Eukaryota; Viridiplantae; Streptophyta; Magnoliopsida; Lamiales; Oleaceae.